UGGGUCAUCAAAUGAUAUUUAAGGGUUUCACUUAAGAAGGAACCCUCAAAACACUUGAGGCUUAAAGUACUACAGUAAUAUAUAAGGUUUAGGAUUUAAAGAUAGCAUGAGUCUACAUAUAUACCUGCAUGCACUAAGGGUUUAAAACACCAUAAAGGGGAUGUAAAAAGUCUCUUAUCUUCCACAAAUAUAGCAGGUUUUCUUCACUAGCUGAGAUUAUGUAUGACUGUAAUAUAAAGUUGCAUCCUAACUCUUGUAGUUUUAGUGGCCAAUAUUACAAAUUGACAAACUAUCAAUUAAACAUUUUGUGAUUAUGAGAUCACCUGACUAAAAACAGAAAAUAACGAUCUUAGCCAGGCGUGGUGGCUUAUGCCUGUAAUUCCAACACUUUCGGAAGCCGAGGCAGGCGGAUCACCUGAGGUCAGGAGUUCAAGACCAGCCUGGCCAACAUGGUGAAACCCUGCCUCUACUAAAAAUACAAAAAUUAGCAGGGCGUGGUGGUGGCGCCUGUGGUCCCAGUGCCCGGGAGGCUGAGGCAGGAGAAUGGCUUGAACCCAGGAGGUGGAGGUUGCAGUGAGCUGAGAUCGUGCCACUGCACUCCAGCCUGGGUGACAGAACAAGACUCCGUCUC
Molecule: long non-coding RNA, 631 nt
Organism: Mandrillus leucophaeus (drill)
Lineage: Eukaryota; Metazoa; Chordata; Mammalia; Primates; Cercopithecidae
Exons: 2
Source: RefSeq, a predicted model, not a curated record